This 253-nucleotide ribosomal RNA is filed under the name uncultured bacterium. RNAcentral's name for it is "partial 16S ribosomal RNA". It matches the Rfam family "Bacterial small subunit ribosomal RNA", at positions 524 to 776 of the family's 1533-position model. The record is from RNAcentral.
UACGUAGGGGGCAAGCGUUGUCCGGAUUUAUUGGGCGUAAAGAGCGUGUAGGCGGCCUGACAGGUCUGCUGUGAAAACUCGAGGCUCAACCUCGAGAUGUCGGCGGAAACCGUCUGGCUAGAGUCCGGAAGAGGAGAGUGGAAUUCCUGGUGUAGCGGUGAAAUGCGCAGAUAUCAGGAGGAACACCGGUGGCGAAGGCGGUGGUCUGGGCCGGAACUGACGCUGAGGAGCGAAAGCGUGGGGAGCGAACAGG